Vicia villosa (hairy vetch) is the source of this 587-nucleotide long non-coding RNA. RefSeq lists it as uncharacterized. Lineage: Eukaryota; Viridiplantae; Streptophyta; Magnoliopsida; Fabales; Fabaceae. The record is from RefSeq and is a predicted model, not a curated record. The transcript has 3 exons.
CCAAGUGGGAGUGACUCCCUCGUCACUGAUAAGAAGCCCACGGUACAUACUUAUCUCAUACUCUCAAUCUUGUACAAUAUGUGAUUAGUACUCAUCUUUCUCAUUUUCGACUUGCCAGAGUUCGAAACCCCCAACGGGUUCGAAGCGUAAAGCUUCUUCGACCACUGGUUCGGAUGGCGAAGAUAAAUCCCCUCCUCAAACUAGACAAGGACAGAAGAAAAAAUACAAAGCUGUUACCCCUUCGAGAAAAGGGAGAAAGGCAAGUCCUUCCAAAGCUGUUUCUCCUGGUGAUAAAGCGUCCUCUGAAGAGUCUCCUUUGAAAGCUGCUAGUAAUGCUUUCGUUGUGGAAAGCCAUAAUUCAAGUCCAGACAAUAUUCCACCCAAGGAUGAUGCUGGCACUGCUACUUCCGGUUUUAAAGACCCUGGCCUCACCAUUGAUGUUGACAAACUUUAUGGUACCUCUCAAAAUCAAACUCGUGUUCUUUCACCAGUCUUUGAAGACGUUAGGCCAAUUGCUACCAUAUUGCCUAAUGAACCAGUCGAAGAAAGCCACUCUACUGACGAAUCCCCACCUACCCAUCAAGGCA